RNAcentral lists this ribosomal RNA (253 nucleotides) under uncultured Solibacillus sp. RNAcentral describes it as "partial 16S ribosomal RNA". It matches the Rfam family "Bacterial small subunit ribosomal RNA", at positions 524 to 776 of the family's 1533-position model. The record is from RNAcentral. Lineage: Bacteria; Bacillati; Bacillota; Bacilli; Caryophanales; Caryophanaceae.
UACGGAGGUGGCAAGCGUUGUCCGGAAUUAUUGGGCGUAAAGCGCGCGCAGGUGGUUCUUUAAGUCUGAUGUGAAAGCCCCCGGCUCAACCGGGGAGGGUCAUUGGAAACUGGGGAACUUGAGUGUAGAAGAGGAUAGUGGAAUUCCAAGUGUAGCGGUGAAAUGCGUAGAGAUUUGGAGGAACACCAGUGGCGAAGGCGACUAUCUGGUCUGUAACUGACACUGAGGCGCGAAAGCGUGGGGAGCAAACAGG